This 164-nucleotide ribosomal RNA is filed under the name Polydora poskeana. Its description in RNAcentral is "5.8S ribosomal RNA". It matches the Rfam family "5.8S ribosomal RNA". Rfam says of the family: 5.8S ribosomal RNA (5.8S rRNA) is a component of the large subunit of the eukaryotic ribosome. It is transcribed by RNA polymerase I as part of the 45S precursor that also contains 18S and 28S rRNA. The record is from RNAcentral. Lineage: Eukaryota; Viridiplantae; Streptophyta; Magnoliopsida; Asterales; Asteraceae.
AAAACGACUCUCGGCAACGGAUAUCUCGGCUCACGCAUCGAUGAAGAACGUAGCAAAAUGCGAUACUUGGUGUGAAUUGCAGAAUCCCGUGAACCAUCGAGUUUUUGAACGCAAGUUGCGCCCGAAGCCAUUCGGCCAAGGGCACGUCUGCCUGGGCGUCACGU